CUACAGGCUUAACACAUGCAAGUCGAGGGGCAGCAUGGUCUUAGCUUGCUAAGACUGAUGGCGACCGGCGCACGGGUGAGUAACACGUAUCCAACCUGCCGUCUACUCUUGGACAGCCUUCUGAAAGGAAGAUUAAUACAAGAUGGCAUCAUGAGUCCGCAUGUUCACAUGAUUAAAGGUAUUCCGGUAGACGAUGGGGAUGCGUUCCAUUAGAUAGUAGGCGGGGUAACGGCCCACCUAGUCUUCGAUGGAUAGGGGUUCUGAGAGGAAGGUCCCCCACAUUGGAACUGAGACACGGUCCAAACUCCUACGGGAGGCAGCAGUGAGGAAUAUUGGUCAAUGGGCGAGAGCCUGAACCAGCCAAGUAGCGUGAAGGAUGACUGCCCUAUGGGUUGUAAACUUCUUUUAUAAAGGAAUAAAGUCGGGUAUGCAUACCCGUUUGCAUGUACUUUAUGAAUAAGGAUCGGCUAACUCCGUGCCAGCAGCCGCGGUAAUACGGAGGAUCCGAGCGUUAUCCGGAUUUAUUGGGUUUAAAGGGAGCGUAGAUGGAUGUUUAAGUCAGUUGUGAAAGUUUGCGGCUCAACCGUAAAAUUGCAGUUGAUACUGGAUAUCUUGAGUGCAGUUGAGGCAGGCGGAAUUCGUGGUGUAGCGGUGAAAUGCUUAGAUAUCACGAAGAACUCCGAUUGCGAAGGCAGCCUGCUAAGCUGCAACUGACAUUGAGGCUCGAAAGUGUGGGUAUCAAACAGGAUUAGAUACCCUGGUAGUCCACACGGUAAACGAUGAAUACUCGCUGUUUGCGAUAUACUGCAAGCGGCCAAGCGAAAGCGUUAAGUAUUCCACCUGGGGAGUACGCCGGCAACGGUGAAACUCAAAGGAAUUGACGGGGGCCCGCACAAGCGGAGGAACAUGUGGUUUAAUUCGAUGAUACGCGAGGAACCUUACCCGGGCUUAAAUUGCAGAUGAAUUACGGUGAAAGCCGUAAGCCGCAAGGCAUCUGUGAAGGUGCUGCAUGGUUGUCGUCAGCUCGUGCCGUGAGGUGUCGGCUUAAGUGCCAUAACGAGCGCAACCCUUGUUGUCAGUUACUAACAGGUUCCGCUGAGGACUCUGACAAGACUGCCAUCGUAAGAUGUGAGGAAGGUGGGGAUGACGUCAAAUCAGCACGGCCCUUACGUCCGGGGCUACACACGUGUUACAAUGGGGGGUACAGAGGGCCGCUACCACGCGAGUGGAUGCCAAUCCCCAAAACCUCUCUCAGUUCGGACUGGAGUCUGCAACCCGACUCCACGAAGCUGGAUUCGCUAGUAAUCGCGCAUCAGCCACGGCGCGGUGAAUACGUUCCCGGGCCUUGUACACACCGCCCGUCAAGCCAUGGGAGCCGGGGGUACCUGAAGUGCGUAACCGCGAGGAGCGCCCUAGGGUAAAACUGGUGACUGGGGCUAAGUCAUAAC
Molecule: ribosomal RNA, 1448 nt
Filed under: uncultured organism
Description: SSU rRNA
Rfam family: Bacterial small subunit ribosomal RNA
Source: RNAcentral